RNAcentral lists this ribosomal RNA (382 nucleotides) under Cobetia sp. BMC6. RNAcentral's name for it is "partial 23S ribosomal RNA". It matches the Rfam family "Bacterial large subunit ribosomal RNA", at positions 2545 to 2925 of the family's 2925-position model. Lineage: Bacteria; Pseudomonadati; Pseudomonadota; Gammaproteobacteria; Oceanospirillales; Halomonadaceae. The record is from RNAcentral.
UCCUGGGGCUGAAGUAGGUCCCAAGGGUUGGGCUGUUCGCCCAUUAAAGCGGUACGCGAGCUGGGUUCAGAACGUCGUGAGACAGUUCGGUCCCUAUCUGUCGCGGGCGCAGGAAGUUUGAGGAGAGCUGUCCUUAGUACGAGAGGACCGGGAUGGACGCACCGCUGGUGCACCAGUUGUUCCGCCAGGAGCACAGCUGGGUAGCUAUGUGCGGACGGGAUAAGCGCUGAAAGCAUCUAAGCGUGAAGCCCCCUCCAAGAUGAGACUUCCCACAGCGUCAAGCUGGUAAGACCCCUCAAAGACGAUGAGGUUGAUAGGUUCGGUGUGGAAGCGCGGCAACGCGUGGAGCUGACGAAUACUAAUCGGUCGAGGACUUAUCCAC